GAUGAACGCUGGCGGCGUGCUUAACACAUGCAAGUCGAACGAGAGCACAGAGAGAGCUUGCUUUUUCUACUAUCGAGUGGCGGACGGGUGAGUAAUGCAUAAACAACCUGUCCUACGGGUGGGAACACGAGCUGGAAACGCCUGUAACUACCCAUAACUUUCACAACGUCGCACAACUGUCAGAAGCAAGUUUGGCGUCUCUUUUUGAGGUAUCUGCGUCGGAUUAGCUAGUUGGUGAUGUAACGGCUCACCAAGGAAACGAUCCGUAGCCGGUCUGAGAGGAUGAUCGGCCACACUGGAACUGAGACACGGUCCAGACUCCUACGGGAGGCAGCAGUGGGGAAUCUUCCGCAAAGGGCGAAAGCCUGACGGAGCAACGCCGCGUGAGUGAAGAAGGCCUUCGGGUUGUAAAGCUCUGUUAUUGGGGAAGAAUAAACGUGUGGUUAAUACCCACGGUAAUGACCGUACCCAAAAAAGAAGGCCAGGCUAACUUCGUU
RNAcentral lists this ribosomal RNA (497 nucleotides) under uncultured bacterium. RNAcentral's name for it is "partial 16S ribosomal RNA". It matches the Rfam family "Bacterial small subunit ribosomal RNA", at positions 28 to 507 of the family's 1533-position model. The record is from RNAcentral.